UACGGAGGGUGCAAGCGUUAUCCGGAUUCACUGGGUUUAAAGGGUGCGUAGGUGGGCAGGUAAGUCCGAUGUGAAAGCUCCCGGCUUAACUGGGAAAUUGCAUCGGAAACUGGUCGGCUGGAAGGUGGGAGAGGGUAGCGGAAUUCCCGGUGUAGUGGUGAAAUGCGUAGAUAUCGGGAGGAACACCAGUGGCGAAGGCGACUACCUGGCCUGUUCUUGACGCUGAGGCGCGAAAGCUAGGGGAGCAAACGGG
This 253-nucleotide ribosomal RNA is filed under the name uncultured bacterium. Its description in RNAcentral is "partial 16S ribosomal RNA". It matches the Rfam family "Bacterial small subunit ribosomal RNA", at positions 524 to 776 of the family's 1533-position model. The record is from RNAcentral.